UAAAAAAGGAAAAAAAAAGAAAAAAAAGACUCUUUCCUCUUUUCUUAUCUCUCUCUCUCUCCUCUGUCUCUUCGUCUUCAUCUCACUCUUCUGAUAUCAGUUCUUCACCGUCGAUUUGCCGGAACCCUAAUUUUGAUGCUCGGAGAAGACAAAUCUUUUUGUAUAUGCUUUUAUUCAGUUUAUUGGAUUUGUCGCUGAAUGCAGUUAGGGUUUUAUUGUUGUAUUUCCGUUUGAGCAGUUAGUGUUGCGACUGCUUAAACUUUGUUGGCUCGGUCGAGACUCACUGAAGCUUAGGGUUUUUUUUUUGUUCGAAGUAGUAGAUGACUGUGAGACAAGGGAAUAGCUGAGAUCAAACGGGUUGGUUUUCAUCACCGGAUGGAGGGAGGUAGCGUCUCUAGACUUACUUCUUCUGAGAUAAACCCAUGGAUUAUGAUGACAAUGACUUUCAAAGCCAGAAUCUUCAUUUAGCUGGUGAAGGAAGUGCCAAAUUUCCACCUGUUCUUCGACAAUAUGCUCUCCCAAAGUUUGAUUUUGAUGACACCCUUCAGGGGCAUGUAAGAUUUGAUAGUUUGGUCGAACCCGAGGUGUUCUUAGGUAUUGAGAAUAACGAAGAUACUCAGUGGAUUGAAGAUUAUUCUCGUGUAAGUAGUGGGAUAGGAUUUACUUCUUGUGCAGCAGAAUCUUGUUCUAUAUUGAGGCGGAAGAAUGUUUGGUCCGAGGCCACUUCCUCUGAAUCUGUUGAAAUGUUAUUGAAGUCCGUUGGGCAGGAAGAUAUCAAUCUGACAGCAACUGUUACUGGCGAGUCAAAUGCUCGUGAAAAAUUGGACUACUUAACAAACCCAAUGGAUCCUACUUUAAAAGAUGAUGGUAGUAGUUUCUGUGAAAUGGGCGAUUUGCAGCCUACUUUGCUAUCAAAUAUAAGUCUUGAGGAAUUGCAUGUUGUUAACGAGGACAUAAGAGGGGAGCAACAACAACCUCAAAGGGAUAAUCCUACUGAAUUUCAGGAGAUCUGUACUGUUGAUAGAAGUUUAGGUGAGGUUGAUCCUGGUGUUGCCCAUGAACUUGUAGAUAUGCCAGCAAGUGAGGGAAGUUCAGGUAUUGAUGAAAACAGUAAGAAACCUUGUGCAAAUACAAUUAAUACUCCAGUUGCCUUAUUAGUGGAAGAUAAAGGGCAAGAUGAUUUUUCUGCUUCAGGAAAGCAUAUAAGUGAUUUGGUUACUUGCGCUCAUGAAGGUAGUGGAAAGUUGGGCGAUCAAAAGAUUGAACAACAAAUAAAAGAUUUAUCUAAGAAUCCUGUUAAUACAUCUGUUGGUAACAUUGAACAAGUGGUCAAUUCACACGAGUUGAGCAAAGAAGACCAAAACCCUCUGAUAUCACCCUCAGUUCCUUCAGAAAGAUUGGUCGUCGAAUCUAGUAUUUCUCCUUUGCAGUCCCAUGCAAGUGUGACCUUGAAGGGGGAUUGUGUGUUCCACUCAGGUAGUGGAGAGGUUAUGCCUGAAGUUUCUUCUGAAACUGACAAGUUAGAUGAUAAGGUCUUGUGUUCAAAUAUGGAGUUUGGAAAUCCGUCUAAAGAAAGCGUAUGCGAGGUAUUACCAGCCGUUGUUGAAGGUGAUGCCAGAACUGAGACAUGUGUUGAGGGGAAAAACAUUAAUGCAGAACUUUGUGCCGUUCAAGGGCCUAAGAUUGAUUCAGUUGGGCAGAUGGCUUGUGGACAAGAAAUGAUUAGUGAACAUCUUCCCUUGGGUAUUGAGAUACAAACUAGUAAGUCUGAGUCUUCUGCAUCUGCUAUGGAGGAAAGUAAAGCCUCUAAGGUUGGUGAAAGCACCAGUGGUUAUAUCAGAGAUAUUCCAGAUAAAUUUACAGAGGAUGUUCAUGGUUGCACCCUUCCCAUAGAAAAUUUAUAUUUUGAAGGCCAUUUGCCACCUACCACUGUGGCUGAAUCAACACAAUUAUGUGAGGAAAAUAAAUUGCCGGGUAAUGUUCACGUGGAACAUGCCAGUUGCAAAGAAGAAGUGAGGCUGUCUUCUGAUUCUACUAAUUUGAAUGGAAAGUUUGCUGACUCUCCUGUCACAGAUAAGAGAAUUGUAUCCUUGUCUUUUCAAGAGAGUGGUGUAGAAAGUGGGACGAUAGAUACAAAAUUAGAGUAUAGUGCUAAUGCUGGUGAUGAAUCAGUGUCAGUUUCUACCUUCGAGGGUGCCAAUGUGAGAACAUGUGGCACAUUACAGGGUGACUCCUUACUUUUAGUUGAUGCUUUGACAGACAGAAAAGAUGCCAAUGACAAAGAGGACCAGUUGCAACCUGCUGUUGUGGAGCUUACUCAAUCAGAUAGCAAAGAAGAAAGUGGUGUGAUAAUUCCUGCUGAAGGAAGUUCUGUUCGGUUGGAUACUUCUCAACCUGUGGGGAAACUUCAUCCUCUUUCUGAAGCUGAAAACUCCACUCCUGUCCUUACUGGCCAGGGAUCUGGUGAAAGUAUUGAUCAAUCUAUUCUGAAAAAUUUGAACUCCAGUGACUGUAGCAGAGAAAGCCAAUCUAUACCUCAAGCAGAUAUUCCUAAUAAUGUUAUCCAAGACUGCGGACAGGAAAUGGACGUUGAUCCAGCGAUUUCAAAGUCAACUGCAAUAGCAUGUGACAGUGGUGGUAAACAGUCAGACGCCACACCUUUGACUCAACGGCCAGGAGAAACACUUGAUAAUUAUCAGAAAGAUCAGGAAAGUAGAAAAGUUGUUUCAGAAACUGUGGGAAAUAACUGUCAGCAGGUCAUUGCAGCGAACAUUGACAGCGGUGCUGGCAAAAAGGAAGGUUCAUUAUGCUCUGCCGUUUUUUCUCAAUCUCAUGAACAGACAUCUGUUACGGGGAAUGGUAAUUCUACUGCUGCUAAGCCACCUCCUAAUUUACCUGAUGUUGUCAAAGCUACUGUGGGUGCUCAUGAUCCAGAUGUAAAGGAUUGCAAUAAAGUACCACCAAGUAAGAAUGUUGAAGCUGCAGAGUUGAAGGAUAGGCUGGUUGGCAACGCUUCAUCUGGUUCUCAGUUACCCAAAGAAAAUGUUGUCUCUGAAAGUGAGACAGCUCUUACCUUCCAGUCCAGUUCAUUGGUAGAUCUGCCAAAAAAUGAUUCUGGCAUUGCAGUUGCAACAGCAGCCAGUGCUUCUUUGGUUGUGGAGGCACCCCAAUCCCAAUCAUCUUCUGGCCCAUCCAAAUUGGACAUCAAGACUGCUCGGGAUAUUUCACACAGUAGUCCUCAUGUGUCUGAGGUAAAAGUUGCACGUUCUCGUUCCAAGGGCACUCCUGAGCGGAGACCAAGGCGUGCUUCUGCCAAAGGAUUGGGGAAAGAGUCAUCUACAAAAGGAAGUCAGACAAAGAAAUCAGAGAAAGUAGAGAAAUCUAAUAGCACGCCCAUAAGCAAUCCUGGAAUUUUCCAGCUUGCACAGUCUAAUGAAAUGCAACAUCAUGGACAUGUGGAGUCCAGUGGUGCAAAACCAUUUGUAUUUAUUGGUGCUUCGACUUCUAGCCUUCCGGACUUGAAUAAUUCUGCCUCCCCAUCCCCAAUGUUUCAACAACCUUUCACAGAUUUGCAACAAGUUCAAUUGCGUGCUCAGAUAUUUGUAUAUGGAGCUUUGAUUCAAGGUACAGCACCAGAUGAGGCGUACAUGUUGUCUGCAUUUGGAGGACCCGAUGGUGGAACAAACCUAUGGGAGAAUGCCUGGCGUAUGUGUGUAGACAGGCUUAAUGGAAAAAAAUCACAGACUAUUAAUCCAGAGACACCUUCACAAUCACAAUCUGUUGGUAGAAGUACUGAGCAAGCCAGUAAACAAAGUACACUGCAGAGUAAAAUUAUAUCUCCUCCAGUUAGUCGAGUUAGCAGUAAGAGUACAUCAACAGUGUUAAACCCUAUGAUCCCUCUUUCCUCACCACUCUGGAGUAUUUCUACACCUUCCAAUGCUCUGCAAUCUAGUAUUGUGCCUCGAAGUCCAGUUAUAGACUAUCAACAAGCACUUACUCCAUUGCAUCCUUAUCAGACUCCUCCUGUCAGGAACUUUAUUGGUCAUAAUCUUUCAUGGUUUUCUCAGGCUCCAUUCCAUAGUACCUGGGUUGCUACUCAGACUUCGACGCCGGACUCCAGUGCACGAUUUUCUGGUUUGCCAAUUACUGAGCCUGUUCAUUUAACACCCGUAAAGGAAUCAUCUGUGUCACAAUCCUCUGCCAUGAAGCCCUCUGGUUCUUUGGUUCAAGGUGGAACUCCUGGUAAUGUAUUUACGGGAUCCUCCCCCCUGCAUGAGUUGAAAAAAGUUUCAGUAACCACGGGGCAAAAUCCCGCCGAAUCAAAAAUGAGAAGAAGAAAGAAGAAUACAGUUUCUGAGGAUCCUGGCCUUAUAACUAUGCAGGUUCAACCUCAUUUGAAACCAGUGCCAGCUGUAGUUACAACUACAAUUUCUACUCUUGCAACAUCUCCAUCUGUCCACCCUAAGGCAACUUCCGAGAAUGUAAUUUUAUCUCCACCUCCAUUGUGUCCGACAGCUCACCCAAAGACUGCAGGUCAAGAUUUGAGAGGGAAACCCAUGUUUUCAGAGGAAACACUUGGCAAGGUUAGGGAGGCUAAGCAACUGGCUGAGGAUGCUGCAUUGUUUGCAUCUGAAGCUGUUAAACACAGUGCAGAAGUGUGGAGUCAAUUGGGCAGGCAGAAGAACUCAGAAUUAGUAUCAGACGUUGAAGCUAAACUAGCUUCUGCAGCUGCUGCUAUAGCAGCAGCUGCUGCUGUUGCAAAGGCUGCAGCUGCUGCCGCCAAUGUGGCAUCAAAUGCUGCAUGUCAAGCAAAGUUGAUGGCUGAUGAGGCAUUUUCUUCAUCUAGCCCCGAGAUUUCCUGUCAAAGCAAUGAAUUUUCUGUUCAUGGUAGUGCUGUUGGUGCAGGGAAGGCCACUCCAGCCUCCAUCUUGAGGGGCGAAGAUGGUGGAAAUGGUUCCAGCUCUAUUAUUAUUGCUGCAAGGGAAGCAGCUAGAAAGAGGGUUGAAGCUGCAUCUGCUGCUUCUAAGCAUGCUGAAAAUGUGGAUGCCAUUGUCAGAGCUGCUGAGCUGGCAGCAGCAGCUGUGUCACAAGCUGGAAAUUUAGUUGCUAUGGGCGAUCCUCUCCCCUUAGGGAAAUUAGUGGAAGCUGGUCCAGAGGGUUAUUGGAAAACGCCUCAAGUAUCUUCUGAGCUGAUUAUGAGACCAGAUGAUGUUAAUGGAGGAAGUUCCAAUUUAGCAAUUAAGCGUCCUAGAGACGGAUUGUCAAGUAAGAACGAGAUUCAACCUAGUGUCAGUGCCAAGCCAUCAAUUCCUGAAGAAAUAUCUAUGGGUAGUGUUGAGAACCAUCCCAAAUUGGUUGAUGGCAUCACAAGUUGUGUAGCACCUCGUGAGAAGGGUCUAAGAGGACAGAAGGACCAAAAUGCUUCUGAUCUGACGAAGACCAUUGGUGUUGUUCCAGAAUCUGAAGUUGGAGAAAGAUUGUCCCAGGAUGAGUGUGAAAAGGCUAAGGAUUUAAGACAAAGCAGCAUAAAGGAAGGUUCUCAUGUUGAGGUUUUCAAGGAUGGGAAUGGAUUAAAAGCAUCUUGGUUCACAGCCAGUGUGCUGAGUUUGAAGGAAGGGAAAGCUUAUGUGUCCUACACCGAACUUCAACCUGAAGAAGGGUCGGGCCAACUAAAGGAGUGGGUUGCUCUUGAUGGUCAAGGGGGCAUGGCGCCAAGAAUUCGAAUAUCUCGUCCAAUGACUACCUCGCGGACUGAAGGAACAAGGAAGAGACGCCGAGCAGCUGCAGGGGACUACAUUUGGUCAGUUGGAGACAAAGUUGAUGCUUGGAUGCAGAAUAGCUGGCAUGAAGGAGUGGUUGUUGAGAAGAACGCAAAAGAUGAAACAGCAUAUAUUGUCCGCUUUCCAGCUCGAGGCGAAACAUCCACUAUCAAAGCUUGGAAUCUCCGCCCUUCUCUCAUAUGGAAAGAUGGGGAAUGGUUUGAGUUGUCUGGCUCAUAUGCAAACGAUUAUUCUCAUGAGAUUAUUAUGCCUCUAGAAAAGCGCAUGAAGUUGGGCAGUCCAGCUGCAGAGGUUAAAAGGAAGGAUAAAAUGCCAACGAUUGUGGAGGAUGUAGAAUCGGCAAAGCCAGCAGACUCAAGUUUGCUUUCAAUAUCAGUGAAUGAGAAAGUAUUUAAUAUUGGUAGGAAUACUCAAACUGAGAAGAAGACUAAUCCAUUAAAAACAAGUCGGACUGGUCUGCAGAAGGGGACAUCAAGAGUGAUUAUUGGUGUUCCAAGGCCUGGAAAAAAGAGAAAAUUUAUGGAAGUGAGCAAACAUUAUGAUGUAGACACUCGAACAACCGAAGCAAAUGAUUCAACUAAGUUGGCAAGGUAUUUGAUGCCGCAAGGUUCUACAUCUAAAGGAUUAAAAAGAACGUCAAAAUAUGAAACGAAGGAAAAAUCUACAAACGAUGGCAAGCCCUUGGCUGUCAAGUCUGGAAAGCAGCCAAGUGUAUCAGAUCAUGCAGUUAUUACAAGGGAUUCUGAAAGCCAGAAUGUGAGUACUGAGGGGAAGAACGACCAAAUGGACGUUCCUUCUUUGUGCAGUACUGAAGAAGCGCCAGAGGGCUCACUUUUAUUUCCUCCAGCACACGCUCCCAAGAAAGCAUCCUCAUUUCACACGAAGCCGGAACGAGCAAAUAAAGGAAGACUUGCUCCUGCAGUAGGGAAAUUGGCAAAAAUUGAGGAAGAAAAGGUUUUCAAUGGGAAUACUACCAAACCAAAUUCCAAUGUUAUUGAGCCACGUAGAUCCAACCGCCGUAUUCAGCCAACCUCAAGAUUAUUAGAGGGACUUCAAAGCUCACUGGCAAUUUCAAAGAUUCCUUCUAUUUCACACGAUAAAGGCCAACGAAGCCAGAACAGGAAUGCAUCUAGAGGGAACAAAACCUAAGGGGGGGGCCUGUUGCACACUUGCUCUUAGCCAGGGAAUCAUCCUCUGCCGAUAAUUAAUGUGACUUUAACAGUAGUUUAUAUUGUUGUAUUUACUAUAGAUAAAUGUAGGAAAGGAAACUCUUGCUUCCUUAGUUAUAGUCCUACAAGUUUAGCUUUAGUUGUUCAUAUUAAUUGAAGUUCCCUCACAUUUGUGUUCUCUCAAUCUCCUCCUCUACCAUAACAGGAUGUAUAUUGAAAACUCUCCUUGUAGGUUGGUCUUGGAAUUCAAAAAGAGAAUCGAAGCAUCUACUCCGCUUCGUUCCCUUUCGGAGUUAACUCUGACUUUGGUGCAUUUAAAUUGUUACUGUUUACCCUCAUUGCCACUGCUGAGUACACUUGAAGAAUGUGGUCAGAAGGCUCAGGUUACUUCCCAAAUUUUGUUUUCAUUCAACAAUUUGGAACGUAGAGCAAUGUUCUUAUGUUAUGGACACCUUACAAGUAAAGUUUUGCAUAAAUUGCUAUGAUACUUUUUUUUUUCUCUUGUUUA
This is an RNA transcript of Cucumis melo (muskmelon), 7457 nucleotides long. RefSeq lists it as uncharacterized. The record is from RefSeq and is a predicted model, not a curated record. The transcript is spliced from 18 exons. NCBI's taxonomy places the organism in Eukaryota, Viridiplantae, Streptophyta, Magnoliopsida, Cucurbitales, Cucurbitaceae.